AACGAACGCUGGCGGCAUGCCUAACACAUGCAAGUCGAACGAGACCUUCGGGUCUAGUGGCGCACGGGUGCGUAACGCGUGGGAACCUGCCCUUAGGUUCGGAAUAACUCCCCGAAAGGGGUGCUAAUACCGGAUAAUGUCUUCGGACCAAAGAUUUAUCGCCUUUGGAUGGGCCCGCGUUGGAUUAGCUAGUUGGUAGGGUAAAAGCCUACCAAGGCGACGAUCCAUAGCUGGUCUGAGAGGAUGAUCAGCCACACUGGGACUGAGACACGGCCCAGACCCCUCCGGGGGGCAGAGUGGGGGAUUAUGGGAAAGGGGGCGAAAGCCUGAUCACGCAUUCCCGGGUGAGGAAUAAGGGCUUAGGGUUUGAAAAGCUCUUUUCCCGGGGUUAAAAUUGACGGUCCGGGGGAAUUACCCCCCGCCUCCCCCCG
RNAcentral lists this ribosomal RNA (431 nucleotides) under uncultured bacterium. Its description in RNAcentral is "partial 16S ribosomal RNA". It matches the Rfam family "Bacterial small subunit ribosomal RNA", at positions 29 to 505 of the family's 1533-position model. The record is from RNAcentral.